UACGGAGGUGGCAAGCGUUGCUCGGAAUCACUGGGCGUAAAGGGCGCGUAGGCGGGGGGGUAAGUCGGGGGUGAAAUCCCUCGGCCCAACCGAGGAACUGCGCCCGAAACUGCCGUGCUUGAGUGCCGGAGAGGGUGGCGGAAUUCCCCAAGUAGAGGUGAAAUUCGUAGAUAUGGGGAGGAACACCGGUGGCGAAGGCGGCCACCUGGACGGUAACUGACGCUGAGACGCGAAAGCGUGGGGAGCAAACAGG
Molecule: ribosomal RNA, 253 nt
Filed under: uncultured bacterium
Lineage: Bacteria
Description: partial 16S ribosomal RNA
Rfam family: Bacterial small subunit ribosomal RNA
Source: RNAcentral